This 253-nucleotide ribosomal RNA is filed under the name uncultured bacterium. Its description in RNAcentral is "partial 16S ribosomal RNA". It matches the Rfam family "Bacterial small subunit ribosomal RNA", at positions 524 to 776 of the family's 1533-position model. The record is from RNAcentral.
UACGGAGGGAGCUAGCGUUGUUCGGAAAUACUGGGCGUAAAGCGCACGUAGGCGGCGCAGCAAGUCAGGGGUGAAAUCCCGGGGCUCAACCUCGGAACUGCCUUUGAAACUGCAGUGCUAGAAUCUUGGAGAGGCGAGUGGAAUUCCGAGUGUAGAGGUGAAAUUCGUAGAUAUUCGGAAGAACACCAGUGGCGAAGGCGACUCGCUGGACAAGUAUUGACGCUGAGGUGCGAAAGCGUGGGGAGCAAACAGG